Molecule: RNA transcript, 2545 nt
Organism: Papaver somniferum (opium poppy)
Lineage: Eukaryota; Viridiplantae; Streptophyta; Magnoliopsida; Ranunculales; Papaveraceae
Exons: 5
Source: RefSeq, a predicted model, not a curated record
CUAACGCCUUGUACUCGGACGUCCAAAUUUACAAAAUCUAGAAUGAGUUAAUCCUUUUAGAAACGAUUCAAUCCAAAUUCAAAUGUUUUGAUGACAAAAACAACCCUCCUGUGAAAAUCCGGAGCAGUUUGUUCCUAGCUAAUUCAUUUCUUCACAUUUCUCUCUCCACAAAUUCAUUUAUGAACAAAUCUCAACAAGUUUUCAUAUGCAUCAACAUCAGCAGCGUUACAAUUCGUAAAUCGAUUUCAAUCACCAUCUUCGAAACCUAAGUUUGAGUACCAAUUAACACUUGAUUUAGCAAGAGACAUCAUCGACACUUGUUCUUGAAGAAUUAACUUGAAAUUGAUGUGGAAGGUUGAUGAAAUAACCAACAACGAUUGAAUCGUUAGAUUCAUCAACAAAAAUGUUUAGGAAUAACAAUUAUUGAUGGAAUCCUAAUUUUUUCUUCAUCUUCAUCAUCAAUUAGUCGUUGGUUUUAAUCUCCCAACAGACUAAGGAUUGUUGUUUUAGGUAGCUGAGGUUUGCACGCCACUAGCACAAUCCUUGAAUCUGUGAGCAGGGUUCCUCGUUAAGUCCUCCAAAUUUAGAAGAGAAAGUAUUGCAAUAUCAGGCAAGUGUACAAGGAAGCAGCAAAUUUUUUCUUUCUGUCACUUUCUGAUGCAUUGUAUCCAUUUUCCAAGGAGGAGCGGAGAUCCAACAUUCGAAGGGAACUAGAAAAUAUGCAAAUAAAUGAAGAUGACCUUUAACUACCUAUUGCUCGUAAUAAACUAGUACGGAGUGUUAAGGUGGAUAGUGGGAUUCCACUACAGUCAGUAGCAAAAGAUCAUACACGUGAAAGAUAGGGAUGGGGAUUCGGUGAAUGUAAAACCACAAGCUUGUAUCUUCAAGGUGGAAUCUGCUCCCUAGGAGUAUAUCACAUACAUAUUAGUGCCGACAUUUUAUAGCAUUUUAUAGUUUCAUGGUUUCAUGUCUAAACCACAAUAUUCUUAGUAUCUAAAUCUCUUUGAUGAUUUAUUUUCCAGUUCAUCUCUUUGAUAGUUAUACUAUUCCGCUUGUUCCUUUUCAUUGUGGUUUGCGUUAUUCACUUGUAGGACAAUAGUAACUGAUAGGCUCAUGGCAUUUGUUUUGGUUGCCCCGUCUUGUGCAACAUUUUUUUAGCCUCUGGGGUGAUUAUGUAAACCAACAAAUAUUAAUUUCACAAGCUUAAGUAUAACAUAAGGAUUCCACAUUGGAUGACUUUACUAAUUUACUAGAAAGGCAUCAACGAUGCUAUACUUCUAUAGUUAGUUUCAUACUUUUUAAGCUAACGUGUACAUAGUGAUAUUAGACGGGAUGGUCCAAAUCAUCCAAUUUAGAGUCUUUUUUCCACACAUGUUUUGGGUGUACAUAGUUGUACACUUGAUAAUUGAUAAUAUGUACAUAAUUGUACACAUGCUGAUUAUUAAUGUGCACAUACUUGUACACAUACAUAUUGAUUCUUGAUGCAUACAUGUACACAUACUUGAUGAUUGAUAAUGUGUAUCUAGUUGUACACAUGUUGAUUGAUAAUGUGUACAUAAAAAUACAUUGGCGACUACUACAAAGACCAGCGAGGAAGUAGAUGGAAAACCUGGUCCCAGUGCUUUGUAUGCCAGGGUCAACAUGGAUGGUGCCCCUUAUCUUGGAAGGUGAACUUGAGAACUUACUAAGAGUAUCAAGAGCUAUCUUUUUCUCUUGAAAAGAUGCUCUGCUGCUUUAUUAUUGGUAGAUUAUUUUGUAUUCCCGACUGCAAGAACCUUAAGAUGAAAUGACUUAUGCCUAUUAUUAAGUUAGAGACUUGGUAGUGUCUUGAAAGAUAUAAUGUAUAACACAGAAUCUAUGAAUGCAUGUUUGUACACGAAAGAUUUUAUUUUUAAGCUGUGGCAUAUGCUUGGUCCACUGUUGUUCAUUUUAUGUUUGGUCAUAAAACUAUCGUUAGCACGAUCUAAAACCUUUAUAGUAAAUAAAAAAAAAAGAAAACUUAUUAGUUGUGUGCAUCCUAUUCUUCCAAAGAUUCAUUUUAGGUAAAGAUUUGUUGUGUACGAUGUCAUUUCUUAAAAUGCCUUGCAGCCUAAUUUUAACCCGAGUUUAAUUUUUUUAUAUAUGGGAAGUGGAGUUCCCAUCUCUUUCAAUAAAAGUGUAUUGAAUAGAGCUCCAAAGGCAAAUAAGUUUUCUGAUUUAGCAUAUGAUGGGUUGGAUUUUCAAUGUGUACAUAAUUGUACACCUGUUCAUUUUCAAUGUGUACGUAAUUGUACACCUGUUGAUUAAUGACAUUGCUAUACAGAUGCAUCUUUGCUGCAAAUUCCAUUAUUGCAGGUGCCUCCUGCCUUCAUGAGCAACAGACUAUGAUGUGCACAAAGUUGUUUCAAUUUAACUUCUCACCUCAUUACAUUUCAUAUCAACACAUAGUUCACUUGAACAGACUCAUGUUACUAGUUGUAUUUCCAUUUUUAUAGAAUGUGUGCACGUAUAUUUUUUUGGUUUAGAGUGGCUUCAUUUCAUUUUCAGAUCAAGUUUGUUGUUUAAU